RNAcentral lists this long non-coding RNA (266 nucleotides) under Homo sapiens (human). RNAcentral's name for it is "non-protein coding lnc-TBC1D19-8:2". Lineage: Eukaryota; Metazoa; Chordata; Mammalia; Primates; Hominidae. The record is from RNAcentral.
UCAUUUGUAAAGCACGUUAGGUGGUUAAAUCAGUUAUUGCGGUUUUCUCUUACUGCAAGCCUUUUUAAUCACCCCCAGGCUGCAUUUUAUUCUAUAUCGCCUUUUUUCUUCAAAUCUGCUCCAAUCACUCACUUCUCUCUUAUAAGCUAAUCCUGCCUCACACCUUAAAUCUGUUUCAGUGAUCAAGGGCAGAACUCAUUGUGGCCUUAUCUUUCUUUGUUGUAAUUGUUCACUGUCUCUUUCUUACAGACCACUUAUUUCUGAGU